UUUCUCUCUCACUACCACAAAAAGGAGAGGGAGAGCAGAGGCAUUAGGGUUUUAGCAUUUCCCCAAGGAGUGUAAAUUGUUAGGUUUAGGCUCAAGGUUGUUGUUGUUUAAGGAGAGAGGGGGAAAAUGGCUGCAGACAAGGGGAAGAAGAUGAAGGUAGCAGAGAAAGGGGAGGAGGACGACGACAAUUACCAAAUCGACGAAGCGCUUGUCCUUUCAAUCGAAAAGCUCCAGGAGAUCCAGGACGAUCUCGAAAAGAUCAAUGAAGAGGCUAGUGAUAAGGUCUUGGAAGUAGAGCAGAAGUAUAACGAGAUACGCAAGCCAGUCUAUGAUAAGCGGAAUGAGAUCAUCAAAACCAUUCCUGACUUUUGGUUAACUGCUUUUUUAAGUCAUCCUGUUCUUCAUACACUUCUAAAUGAAGAGGAUCAAAAGAUAUUCAAAUAUAUAAUCUCCUUGGAGGUGGAGGACUUUAAAGACGUUAAAUCUGGUUACACCAUAACAUUUAACUUUCAACCCAACCCAUAUUUUGAGGAUACAAAGCUUACAAAAACUUUCACUUUCCUUGGUGAAGGAACAACAGAAAUUACUGCUACACUGAUUAAGUGGAAACAGGGCAUGGAAAUGCCGAAUGGAGUGAAUGAGAAGAAAGGGAACAAAAGACCUUUUAUUGAUGAAGGCUUCUUCGGUUGGUUUAGUAGUCCUGUGCGGAAAGAGACGGUGGAAAAUUAUCAGGAUGAGAUUGCAGAUGUUAUCAAAGAAGAUUUAUGGCCCAAUCCACUCUCUUAUUUCAACACUGAUCCUGAUGAUGAGGAGUUUGAAGGGGAUGAAGCUGAUGAAGGGGUUAAGGAUGGUGAUGACUCUGAAGAGGAUGACGAUGAGCAAGAAGACGACGAAGAUGAUGAUGCUGGUAUCUGACUGGUACCAUGUUCAGUAGGUGGUUUUCUGACGAUUUUUCUUAUCCAGUCAAGGCCAUUCGUUCUGUUCUACUGUGGUUUCCUCCCUGAUAUGCAGUUUUCUAGAUAAUUAUGGUAUGAUGUCCUUUUUAUAUCUUACAUCUCUUUCAAUCCUUGAUCAAAGAAAAAGUAGAAUCGUACCUUAUGGUGUAAAGUUGUUGGGAUAAGCCUCUUAUAUGCAUUCAAUUUACUAACAAACAAAUGACCUAUGCUGUUAUCAGUUUAAGCUUAUCAGGUUCUUUAGCUGUGGACUUGUUCAAAAAGUACUUUGUGUGUUGGAAUCCAUUUUUGUUCUUCGAG
Molecule: unclassified non-coding RNA, 1253 nt
Filed under: Hevea brasiliensis (rubber tree)
Lineage: Eukaryota; Viridiplantae; Streptophyta; Magnoliopsida; Malpighiales; Euphorbiaceae
Source: RNAcentral